GACGAACGCUGGCGGCGUGCUUAACACAUGCAAGUCGGACGGAAAGGCCCUGCUUUUGUGGGGUGCUCGAGUGGCGAACGGGUGAGUAACACGUGAGUAACCUGCCCUUGACUUUGGGAUAACUUCAGGAAACUGGGGCUAAUACCGGAUAGGAGCUCCUGCUGCAUGGUGGGGGCUGGAAAGUUUCGGCGGUUGGGGAUGGACUCGCGGCUUAUCAGCUUGUUGGUGGGGUAGUGGCUUACCAAGGCUUUGACGGGUAGCCGGCCUGAGAGGGUGACCGGCCACAUUGGGACUGAGAUACGGCCCAGACUCCUACGGGAGGCAGCAGUGGGGAAUAUUGCACAAUGGGCGGAAGCCUGAUGCAGCAACGCCGCGUGCGGGAUGACGGCCUUCGGGUUGUAAACCGCUUUCGCCUGUGACGAAGCGUGAGUGACGGUAAUGGGUAAAGAAGCACCGGCUAACUACGUG
This 468-nucleotide ribosomal RNA is filed under the name uncultured bacterium. RNAcentral describes it as "partial 16S ribosomal RNA". It matches the Rfam family "Bacterial small subunit ribosomal RNA", at positions 28 to 507 of the family's 1533-position model. The record is from RNAcentral.